GACGAACGCUGGCGGCGUGCUUAACACAUGCAAGUCGAACUGAAAGGCCCUGCUUUUGUGGGGUGCUCGAGUGGCGAACGGGUGAGUAACACGUGAGUAACCUGCCCUUGACUUUGGGAUAACUUCAGGAAACUGGGGCUAAUACCGGAUAGGAGCUCCUGCUGCAUGGUGGGGGUUGGAAAGUUUCGGCGGUUGGGGGUGGACUCGCGGCUUAUCAGCUUGUUGGUGGGGUAGUGGCUUACCAAGGCUUUGACGGGUAGCCGGCCUGAGAGGGUGACCGGCCACAUUGGGACUGAGAUACGGCCCAGACUCCUACGGGAGGCAGCAGUGGGGAAUAUUGCACAAUGGGCGGAAGCCUGAUGCAGCAACGCCGCGUGCGGGAUACGGCCUUCGGGUUGUAAACCGCUUUCGCCUGUGACGAAGCGUGAGUGACGGUAAUGGGUAAAGAAGCACCGGCUAACUACGUG
RNAcentral lists this ribosomal RNA (467 nucleotides) under uncultured bacterium. RNAcentral describes it as "partial 16S ribosomal RNA". It matches the Rfam family "Bacterial small subunit ribosomal RNA", at positions 28 to 507 of the family's 1533-position model. The record is from RNAcentral.